Molecule: small RNA, 70 nt
Filed under: Photorhabdus luminescens
Lineage: Bacteria; Pseudomonadati; Pseudomonadota; Gammaproteobacteria; Enterobacterales; Morganellaceae
Description: isrK
Source: RNAcentral
GCUGCGGCAAAAUCCGCAGCCGGAGUUAGCGUUCCGAUUAACAUGAUGGCAGCAUUACACGCCUGUUUUA